CACUCCUGCGGGAGGCAGCAGUGGGGAAUUUUGGACAAUGGGCGAAAGCCUGAUCCAGCAAUGCCGCGUGAGUGAAGAAGGCCUUCGGGUUGUAAAGCUCUUUUGUCAGGGAAGAAACGGUGAAAGCUAAUAUCUUUUGCUAAUGACGGUAACUGAAGAAUAAGCACCGGCUAACUACGUGCCAGCAGCCGCGGUAAUACGUAGGGUGCAAGCGUUAAUCGGAAUUACUGGGCGUAAAGCGUGCGCAGGCGGUUUUGUAAGUCUGAUGUGAAAUCCCCGGGCUCAACCUGGGAAUUGCAUUGGAGACUGCAAGGCUAGAAUCUGGCAGAGGGGGGUAGAAUUCCACGUGUAGCAGUGAAAUGCGUAGAUAUGUGGAGGAACACCGAUGGCGAAGGCAGCCCCCUGGGUCAAGAUUGACGCUCAUGCACGAAAGCGUGGGGAGCAAACAGGAUUAGAUACCCCAGUAGUCCCAUGA
This 475-nucleotide ribosomal RNA is filed under the name uncultured organism. RNAcentral's name for it is "partial 16S ribosomal RNA". It matches the Rfam family "Bacterial small subunit ribosomal RNA", at positions 334 to 800 of the family's 1533-position model. The record is from RNAcentral.